CCUACGGGAGGCAGCAGUGGGGAAUAUUGGGCAAUGGAGGAAACUCUGACCCAGCAACGCCGCGUGAAUGAUGAAGGUCUUCGGAUUGUAAAGUUCUUUUCUAAGGGAAGAAGAAAGUGACGGUACCUUAGGAAUAAGCCUCGGCUAACUACGUGCCAGCAGCCGCGGUAAUACGUAGGAGGCAAGCGUUAUCCGGAAUGACUGGGCGUAAAGGGGGCGUAGGUGGUUUGACAAGUUAGUAGCGUAACUCCGGGGCUCAACCUCGGCACUACUACCAAAACUGUCGUACUUGAGUGCAGGAGGGGCAAAUGGAAUUCCUAGUGUAGCGGUGGAAUGCGUAGAUAUUAGGAGGAACACCAGUGGCGAAGGCGAUUUGCUGGACUGUAACUGACACUGAGGCACGAAAGCGUGGGGAGCAAACAGGAUUAGAUACCCGUGUAGUC
This 443-nucleotide ribosomal RNA is filed under the name uncultured bacterium. RNAcentral describes it as "partial 16S ribosomal RNA". It matches the Rfam family "Bacterial small subunit ribosomal RNA", at positions 338 to 795 of the family's 1533-position model. The record is from RNAcentral.